AAAAGUCUUGUCACCCAAUAGUGCCAAGGAGUAUAGAAAAUCACUGAGUUCCUAUGACUACAGAUCAAGACUGAACAGGAUUUGACUCUCUCAUUCUUGGGAUGAGACCCUGCUACAACCUUGGGUGCAUUUCUCUGACAUCAUUUCCAUUAUCCAUAGAUCUGACAGACCAUAGACUACAGAUUCUUACCCAUCUUUGGCUGAGUUAAUGAAGACAGUUUUCUAAUUGCCUGGAAUGUGAAGUCCCUUGAUGCUUGAAUGAAUAAGUACAAACUCAACUAAACUAUUAUGUCCAGCCAACUCCAGACUAAGCUUCUCAGUUUCUACUGCUUGCAUAGGGAACAAUAAUCAAAUCCAUACCACAAUUGCUACUGGAAAUGACAUUACAAUUGACUGUUCUAUGGCCCCCAUCACUAUCUCUGUGACCUUUACCAACAGACCAAUAGUCCCUUCCCUGGUCAUCAUUCCCCUUUAGAUGUGGUCU
This 484-nucleotide long non-coding RNA is filed under the name Monodelphis domestica (gray short-tailed opossum). Its description in RNAcentral is "lncRNA (ENSMODG00000045408.1)". The record is from RNAcentral. Lineage: Eukaryota; Metazoa; Chordata; Mammalia; Didelphimorphia; Didelphidae.